This 29-nucleotide non-coding RNA is filed under the name Homo sapiens (human). Lineage: Eukaryota; Metazoa; Chordata; Mammalia; Primates; Hominidae. The record is from RNAcentral.
UUGGCAUGACGAGUGCUCGGCCUUUAGAG